UAAGGAAUAUUGGUCAAUGGACGAAAGUCUGAACCAGCCAUGCCGCGUGGAGGAUGAAGGUCCUCUGGAUUGUAAACUUCUUUUAUCUGGGACGAAAAAGGUCUUUCUAGAUCGUCUGACGGUACCAGAUGAAUAAGCACCGGCUAACUCCGUGCCAGCAGCCGCGGUAAUACGGAGGGUGCAAGCGUUAUCCGGAUUCACUGGGUUUAAAGGGUGCGUAGGUGGGUUGGUAAGUCAGUGGUGAAAUCUUCGAGCUUAACUCGGAAACUGCCAUUGAUACUAUCAGUCUUGAAUAUUGUGGAGGUUAGCGGAAUAUGUCAUGUAGCGGUGAAAUGCUUAGAUAUGACAUAGAACACCAAUUGCGAAGGCAGCUGGCUACACAUAUAUUGACACUGAGGCACGAAAGCGU
This 409-nucleotide ribosomal RNA is filed under the name uncultured bacterium. RNAcentral describes it as "partial 16S ribosomal RNA". It matches the Rfam family "Bacterial small subunit ribosomal RNA", at positions 355 to 762 of the family's 1533-position model. The record is from RNAcentral.